CCUAGCUACUUGGGAGGCUGAGGCAGGAGAAUCGCUUGAACCCGGGAGAUAGAAGUUGCAGUGAGUGAAGAUCACACCAUUGCACUCCAGCCUGGGAGACAGAGGGAAACGCUGGCUAAAAAAAAAAAAAAAAACUGCACUUGGCUUAGGGAGGCAAGGGGCUGGGGAGACAGUGGUAUCAGCAGCAGCCUGGGGUGCAUUUGAUGGCCCCCAGAGGUGUAUGUGACCAGGCCCAGCUAGAGGAGGCAGCUUCAGGCUAGCACCCCAGCAGGAAAGAACAGUCCUUAUGCCCGGUGGCUUCAACAAUUAAAUCAGGGUUGCAUCUCAUCAUGAGUGGAUCUCACAGCCAGGCAGAUUGAUAGCUGUGAUCGUCCUGACGUGUUAUGUGUCCCUCUCUGGAUGCAGGGGCCAUAGUACUGACCUCACUAAAACAUAUGAUCUGAGAAAGGGGGUGGUGUUUCCCCAAAGGAAAAGGGGAGGAGUGAUACUGGGUGGGACAGAACGAGCAGCUGCCCACUGUCUCUCCUGGCUUUCCUAUUGCCCAGUGUUCUCCAGUCAACUACAGGUGCACAUGGUACUACAGCUCUGCCCUGUGCUUGGGGACCACAUGUACUCUGCCCGUGUGGGCACUGUCCUGGGCCAGCGAUUUCUGCUGCCAGCUGAGAACAAGCCCCAAAGACAGGUCCUGGAUGAAGCCCUCCUCAGAUGCCUCCACCUGACCCCUUCCCAGGCUGCCCAGCUGCCCUUGCACCUCCACCUACAUCGGCUCCUCCUCCCAGGCACCAGGGCCAGCGACACCCCCAUCGAGCUCCUGGCACCACUGCCCCCUUAUUUCUCCAGGACCCUACAGUGCCUGGGGCUCUGCUUACAAUAGUCCUCCCUCUGUUCCUGACCCCCUCACACACACUGGAAGGUGAGGGUGGGGGCUCUGCAGUCAGACAAACCUAAGAUCACAUCCUGGACAGGCCACUUGCUUGCUGUGUGGCACUGGGCAAG
This 996-nucleotide small RNA is filed under the name Pongo abelii (Sumatran orangutan). RNAcentral's name for it is "retained intron". Lineage: Eukaryota; Metazoa; Chordata; Mammalia; Primates; Hominidae. The record is from RNAcentral.